Molecule: non-coding RNA, 1987 nt
Organism: Punica granatum (pomegranate)
Lineage: Eukaryota; Viridiplantae; Streptophyta; Magnoliopsida; Myrtales; Lythraceae
Source: RefSeq, a predicted model, not a curated record
CACAUCUCUUCACACACUUCCUCUCUUCCAUAUCUCUUCUACUCUUCCAUGUAAUCUUCCCUUGCAGCCCUCUCUCCCAUCCUUCGGUCUUCCUUGGUGAUUCCGAAGAAUUCCCACUUUUGAGGAGGAGGCAACAAUAACAACAUAGCAGAGACAUAACAUAUCCUCCAAGCACCCUGUCUGCUGCUUUUUUUUUUUAUAUACAAUGGAGGUUUAAAAGUCUAAUUACAAUGAAAGAGAAAUCCUAAAUAACUAAUAAAAGGGCACGGAUAGUCCCACUAGAUAUCAAACAUGCAACCUCUUAAAAAACAGACGACGGAGAACACUAUUACACUAUACCUUCUUUUUUGUUAGGUUUGCUGCUUUGUUUUGCUUUUUGUUGUUUGUCUUUUGUUUUUCCUUCGGGUUAAUAGGGUUCCUGAUCCAUAUAACUCGACCCACUAGCUGUCAUAUUUACAAGCCAAUUUUGAUAGUUAUGGGUAGGUAUUUCCAACCAGAGCCAGCCCGAAACUUGAUGCACCAACCUGAAUUUGGAAAACCGGAACCAACGCCAACCACUUUCACCUCUAACUGUCGCUCAUUCAAAUCUAUCACUACCAAUAAUAAUGGCAUUUCCUCAAACUCAUUGACUAUCUAGGGUUAAAGCUGUGUAGCGCACGCUAAUAACCAAGAUGUUUUAGAUGCAGUACUUAGUAAGACUAUUCGUGUCCAUUUAUUAGUUAUUAGAAUUUAUAUUUCAUUAUAUUUAUUAGACUCAGGGGCUUUCCUAAUAAAAAAAAUAUUACCGAACUUAAAGUUUCGGUAAGAAAGCCUAAAAUGCAUGAGGAAUUUGUUUUAGGGUUUAUUUUUUUUUUAAAAAACCAACGAUACUUCUCUUUAAAAGAAACCAACGACACCAGAUGACACGCUUAAAAAAAAGCGCAUACUCUCAAAAUUAUUUUGUUUAUAGGCACUUUUAAUUUAGUUGACCUCUUCUUUAGAAAAAAAUAUAUCUUUUUUGAAAAAAAUAUAUAAUUCUAAAACAAGAAAAUUAAAAAUAAAAAUAAAUUAAAGGAAGAUGCUCUAAAGGAGCUAAAGGCGGCGGUAGGGGUCCCUUAGUCUGCCAUUGUAGUGGGAUUUGUUAAUUUGUUUUAAGGAAGAAAGGGGGAUAGAAUAAACUACCAAUUAAUAAUUUGCCACGGCCAAGGUAAGAUUGUGACAAAGUUUGCCCCACUAGUUUUUCGUUAGAAAUAACACAAUACUAUAUAUAUACAUAUAUAUAUAUAUAUAUGUAUGUCCAAGAAACAAAAUGUGAUCUCUAACGAAGCUCUCUACCCAAACCGUAAGAAACCCCCAAACUCGAACUUCCGCCGCUGCCGCCUACACGUUCGCCUCUGGUUGGGCACUUUUCGGCGGCAAUCAUUGGCUAUUGCUACCCACCAUGCACCUCUACCGCUCCUCUACUGCCGAUUCGCCUUCAUCGCAUGCUGCUUCCUUGCCUUCUCGGCCUUCCACCUUCAAAUUCCAUCGCAGACCAGAAUUGACUUAUCUCACAGCAUACCUCACCAGAACGACCUGAGCAAGACUCUUUUGGAGCCCGUGAUAGUCACCUCCUUUCGGUUCCAAGUUAAAACCCUUGGCCUCUCAAACAUUCAUCGUCGACAAUUUACUGACGUAGUCCGAUGCCAUUAUUGUUUUUGUUUCGAUAUCCUUCUUGGUAUUCCAAAGGUGGUUCCGAUCUGUUUAGUUCAUGUUAGUGGCUGGUAUGUAUUAGACUGUGCCUGGUCGACUUUGAUCUGCUAGGAGAUGUGUGGGUGUGCUCUGUUGUUACGUGAUAUGCGGGUUCUUUUGUUAGUCCGUUCCCAUAUAAGGGGUGCUUCCACACCCAACAGAUGUAUGGAUGAUUCGUCAUCUUGGAUGGCCUAUGGCAUUGUCGGCAGUGUCUUUUUUUUUUUUUUUGCUUAAUAAAAGGCUAGGUCGGAUUAUUGGCCCUCUGUGGCUGUCCCAA